This 77-nucleotide transfer RNA is filed under the name Pararhodospirillum photometricum DSM 122. RNAcentral describes it as "tRNA-Pro". The record is from RNAcentral. Lineage: Bacteria; Pseudomonadati; Pseudomonadota; Alphaproteobacteria; Rhodospirillales; Rhodospirillaceae.
CGAUGUGACGGGCCGAACGGCCCGUGGCGACGAUCAUGUGAUCGGCGAUGCUCGAUUUGCCCGCCAGAUCAAUCACC